RNAcentral lists this non-coding RNA (925 nucleotides) under Engystomops petersi (Peters' dwarf frog). Its description in RNAcentral is "partial 12S ribosomal RNA". It matches the Rfam family "Bacterial small subunit ribosomal RNA". Lineage: Eukaryota; Metazoa; Chordata; Amphibia; Anura; Leptodactylidae. The record is from RNAcentral.
GGUUUGGUCCUGACCUUAAAGUCAAUUAUUUCUUAAUAUACACAUGCAAGUAUCAGCCCUCCUGUGAAAACGCCCUUAAUUUUCCCCAUUAGGGAUAAGGAGCUGGUAUCAGGCACAAAAUAUGCCCAAAACACCUAGCUAUGCCACACCCACAAGGGAACUCAGCAGUGAUUAACAUUAAACAUAAGCGCCAGCUUGAUUUAGUUAAAGAAAAUAGAGCCGGCAAAUCUGGUGCCAGCCGCCGCGGUUACACCACGUGACUCAAAUUGAUUUAUAUCGGCGUAAAGCGUGAUUUAAGAGUAUUAAGAUUGAAAUUAAAUUUUAAUUAAGCUGUAACACGCUUGUUUUUAAGAAAACCAAACACGAAAGUUAUUUCAAUUAUCUCCACUUGAAUUCACGACAAUUAGGAUACAAACUGGGAUUAGAUACCCCACUAUGCCUAAUCGUAAACUUUAAUUUACACUAACAUCGCCAGGGAACUACGAGCAAAGCUUAAAACCCAAAGGACUUGACGGUACCCCAAAUCCACCUAGAGGAGCCUGUCCUAUAAUCGAUAACCCCCGUUAAACCUCACCACUUCUAGCUUAUCAGCCUGUAUACCUCCGUCGUCAGCUUACCUCGUGAGCGAAUCAUAGUGAGCCUAAUGCUUAUACACCAACACGUCAGGUCAAGGUGCAGUAUAUGAAGUGGGAAGAGAUGGGCUACACUUUCUAAUUUAGAACAUACGAAAAAUUAUUUAUGAAAACUAAUUUGAAGGCGGAUUUAGAAGUAAAAAGAAAUUAGUGUAUUCUUUUUAACCCGGCACUGGGGUGUGUACACACCGCCCGUCACCCUCUUCAAGGCCUAUUUAUAGUAUUUAACUAAAUUUGCUAUUCAGAAGAGGCAAGUCGUAACAUGGUAAGUGUACCGGAAGGUGUGCUUGGAA